Sapajus apella (tufted capuchin) is the source of this 183-nucleotide long non-coding RNA. RefSeq lists it as uncharacterized. NCBI's taxonomy places the organism in Eukaryota, Metazoa, Chordata, Mammalia, Primates, Cebidae. The transcript has 3 exons. The record is from RefSeq and is a predicted model, not a curated record.
UUAUGUGUUUAACCCAUCGAGAGUUGAUUUUUGUAUAUGGUGUAAGGAAGGGGUGCAGUUUCAAUCUUAUGUAUAUGGCUAGCCAGUUAUCCCAUCACCAUUCAUUAAAUAGGAAACUCUUUCCCAAUUGCUUGCUUGUGUCAAAUUUGUCAAAGAUCAGACAAUUUCAGAUGUGUGUUGUUU